GACUGUAUUCCUUUAAAAGUGAUUUUAUAUAUAUAUAUAUUUAGUUUCAGUUUCAAAAAAGUAUCUGCAACUAAACACAGACUCUCCAACCAGCUUUGUUUCAUACCCUUAACAUGCCCCCCAUUUAUCGAUUAGUCUUGUACUGCAUUCAGUGUCAUAAUAGAACCAUGUCUAUUGAGAUUACUUUAUACUCCAGUCUCCACAUUGUAUCACGGAAUAGCAUCUGAGAAAAAAGAAGUGAAUUUAGAUAAUUAUUCAUAUUCUAACUUCAAACAAAAAGGAAAUGACAUACUAAAGUAAUCCCUUCGUAUAGACACAUUUCUAUUGUAGAUAGUAUGCAUAAAAGGACCAAAAUAAUUUGGUCUCAACUAAAACAAUAAAAAGACCAGAAAGGAAGACCAAGCUUCUCUCUUGAUUCUUAGCGAAGUAAUUUUGUAUCACUACUCUAUCCACGAAAGAUAUAUAACUCAAAUUCUACAUAUGCGUCGAAUUAAUUGGAGACGAACCAAAAAAAGCAAUACAUAAAACAUUUCAUUCUAUCGUUUGUAGUCAUUAUGUUACUCUAAUUUUUUAAUUCAUCAAUAUCAUUUGUUACAACUAAUAUAAUAUCCACUUUACAAAAGUCCUUCAUGUGUAUCAGGAAACUCGGCACACAAAAUUGAAAAAUACCCAUAAGUAUUAUUUGGAGAAACAUAUUUUAUCAGGAAACUCGGCACACAAAAUUGAAAAAUACCCAUAAGUAUUAUUUGGAGAAACAUAUUUUAUCCUUCAAUUGCUGGAGCGGCGAAAUUGAAAAUGUCAAAAGAAAGAUCAAUGUACAUAAAAUAUUUAUUGCUGCAGAAACCAAUAUUUAGAACCUGUAAAUAGAGAGUAAAAUUAAUAUCAUGCUUAAAUGAGAGAGUUUUCAAGUUUUUCAGCCGCUUCCUUCCUUUCCAUGGAAAACAAACGCCAUCAUUCCAUAGAAAUUUUAGAAAGAAGAUCUUUAAAUGCAUAUAUAACAAAAUCCUUAGAAAACUUAAAUAUGAAAAAGAUUAAAUAUCUAUUGUAACUGCUCAAUGAUCAUCUGUAUAUUGUUGAGUGAAAACUUUAUCUUUUAUUGAUAUAGUUAUAAAUACUAUAAAAUCUAUUUAUCUUUUAAAAUGUCUCAUGAGUAUAAAAUUGGAAUAAUUUUCUUUAGUAUGUUACUAUACAAAAAGAAACAAAGAUGAAAAAAAUAGUGGAAAGCACAAAGAAGACGUGAAAAGAGAAGGAACAAUUUACCACCGAAAAAAAUGAGAGAUAAAAAAGAUGAAGACAUCAACAGUGAAACAUUAUUUACAAUUAUUUGGAUACUCAGUCUCCUUCUUAUCAUUACCAUGACCAAACAAAAAGCAAAAGAUAAGUAAGGAAAAAAGAAGGGAUUAGAAAAAUGAAAACCAUAAGAAAUUUAGUGAAUAGGUGAAGAUUUUUACUGGCACAAAUUAACAAUAUCCAAUUAUGUACUUUCAGAUUAUUUUCACCGGUAACUUUCUUCUUCUUUUUUGAUUUUUUCUCUGCCUUAGGUGCCAUUGCAUUUGAAACGUGAGACGUUUGAUAGAAACGGCAACUGAAGACGUGUGCUUUGGCUUGAAACCAUUCUUAAAAAAGAUUACAGUAACUAUUGCAUGCCUUAGAUGUCUCCUCAUUAUUAGGAGUUGCAACUGUAAUUGAACGUGAAUUGAGAAGAACAUAAAGUAACUGUAUUUUCUUUAAUUAAACGUGAUUGACAAAAAAAUGAAGUGACUGUAUUC
RNAcentral lists this long non-coding RNA (1769 nucleotides) under Nicotiana tabacum (common tobacco). RNAcentral describes it as "long non-coding RNA (NTAB_LNC000956)". The record is from RNAcentral. Lineage: Eukaryota; Viridiplantae; Streptophyta; Magnoliopsida; Solanales; Solanaceae.